UUUUUCAUAUGUUUGUUUUUAGAUAUUGGCAGAUGCCAGCUAAGAGACCUAUAUGGAACCUCCAAUUUGAAUAAUGUGUUCGUUUGAACAGUUCUUCUAUUAGCCAGCACAGAUGAUGGUUCAGCUCCUAUAUUAUUUAUAUUGAAAGCCUUACCAUACAUAAUAUGUAUAUAUUUUAGUUCUUCAGUCUAUUUCACACUACUCUAGCAACGUAUACAUGUUAACAUCAACAAAAAUACCGUUUCUAGCGGAACGCGGAAGGGAUACAAAAGAUUAAUGUGUGUGUCGGCACAUAGAUGCUUCAAUGGUGAUUAGUUUUGGUUUUCUGUAUCGUUUUCUGUUUGUUAAUAUACUUUACGUCUUUACCUUUUCAAAAAUAUAUUGCAACUUCAAGGAUUACUAAUGUAAUUCUUAAAUAAUGCAAUCCAGUGCAUAAAUUAAAAAAGUGGAAAGAAACAGCUUACAGGCUUGGGUUCAAUUGGAUACAUGAUAUCCACAAUAGUACUCUGUUCAGUCUCAUCUUCCUUGAAGGGGUGAUAAAAGUCUGCAAAAAGUUAACGAGUUAAUGCACCGCAGGUAUGGUGUACUAUCAGAAGGACAAAAAAGCAAUCAAAGUCACAACAGAAGAAUAACUCAUAUGCUAAAUCCUUCAACAAGUCCAAUUGUUAAAAAAUAUAAUCCACAUUAAGUGAAGAGAUUUCAAAACGCCACAUAUUUCUUGAGUUUCUGUGAAACCAUGUACCCUUAACAAAAAUUAGAUCAAUUGUUGAUGAAGUAUAGAACAAAUGGGUUCACUAUGCUUUCUAUGGACCACAAAACAGUAACCUUGUGAAUUGAUUAAAAGCUAGUCUUUC
This 854-nucleotide long non-coding RNA is filed under the name Helianthus annuus (common sunflower). RNAcentral describes it as "hypothetical non coding rna". The record is from RNAcentral. Lineage: Eukaryota; Viridiplantae; Streptophyta; Magnoliopsida; Asterales; Asteraceae.